AUUGAACGCUGGCGGCAGGCUUAACACAUGCAAGUCGAGCGGGGUGAUGGUGCUUGCACUAUCACUUAGCGGCGGACGGGUGAGUAAUGCUUAGGAAUCUGCCUAUUAGUGGGGGACAACAUCUCGAAAGGGAUGCUAAUACCGCAUACGUCCUACGGGAGAAAGCAGGGGAUCACUUGUGACCUUGCGCUAAUAGAUGAGCCUAAGUCGGAUUAGCUAGUUGGUGGGGUAAAGGCCUACCAAGGCGACGAUCUGUAGCGGGUCUGAGAGGAUGAGCCGCCACACUGGGACUGGGACACGGCCCAGACUCCUACGGGAGGCAGCAGUGGGGAAUCUUGGACAAUGGGGGGAACCCUGAUCCAGCCAUGCCGCGUGUGUGAAGAAGGCCUUAUGGUUGUAAAGCACUUUAAGCGAGGAGGAGGCUCUUUUGGUUAAUACCCAAGAUGAGUGGACGUUACUCGCAGAAUAAGCACCGGCUAACUCUGUGCCAGCCGCCGCCGUAA
This 503-nucleotide ribosomal RNA is filed under the name uncultured bacterium. Its description in RNAcentral is "partial 16S ribosomal RNA". It matches the Rfam family "Bacterial small subunit ribosomal RNA", at positions 30 to 523 of the family's 1533-position model. The record is from RNAcentral.